RNAcentral lists this ribosomal RNA (625 nucleotides) under uncultured bacterium. Its description in RNAcentral is "bacterial SSU rRNA". It matches the Rfam family "Bacterial small subunit ribosomal RNA", at positions 64 to 735 of the family's 1533-position model. The record is from RNAcentral.
GAGCGCGCCUUUCGGGGCGAGCGGCGGACGGGUUAGUAACGCGUGGGAAUAUGCCCAAAGGUACGGAAUAGCCUCUGGAAACGGAGAGUAAUACCGUAUGUGCCCUUCGGGGGAAAGAUUUAUCGCCUUUGGAUUAGCCCGCGUUAGAUUAGGUAGUUGGUGGGGUAAUGGCCUACCAAGCCUACGAUCUAUAGCUGGUUUUAGAGGAUGAUCAGCAACACUGGGACUGAGACACGGCCCAGACUCCUACGGGAGGCAGCAGUGGGGAAUCUUAGACAAUGGGGGAAACCCUGAUCUAGCCAUGCCGCGUGAGUGACGAAGGCCCUAGGGUCGUAAAGCUCUUUCGCCAGGGAUGAUAAUGACAGUACCUGGUAAAGAAACCCCGGCUAACUCCGUGCCAGCAGCCGCGGUAAUACGGAGGGGGUUAGCGUUGUUCGGAAUUACUGGGCGUAAAGCGCGCGUAGGCGGGUUGUUAAGUUAGAGGUGAAAUCCCGGGGCUCAACCCCGGAACUGCCUUUAAUACUGGCAACCUAGAGUUCGAGAGAGGUGAGUGGAAUUCCGAGUGUAGAGGUGAAAUUCGUAGAUAUUCGGAGGAACACCAGUGGCGAAGGCGGCUCACUGGCUC